UGUCCUCCAUCACAACACAACACACACAAAUCCUCCUCCUCAUCACAAACAUGACUCUGAUCUGCGUCCUCAUCUGGACUCUCCUCUGCUGCUGCUUCACAGAGUCCAGAGGACAGGUCACAGUGACUCAGCCUGCAGCAGUGAGCUCUGCUCUGGGAGCAACAGUCACCAUCUCAUGCAGGACCAGUCAGGAUGUUUUUGGUGACUAUUUAGCCUGGUACCAGCAGAAAGAUGGAGGAACUCCCAAACUCCUCAUUUACUGGGCUGACACUCGAGCAUCAGGGAUUCCAGAUCGUUUUUCAGGCAGUGGAUCAGGCUCUUCCUUCACUCUGACCAUCAGUGGAGUCCAGGCUGAAGAUGCAGCAGUUUACUACUGUCAGAGUGUACAUGUUAUCAACAGUCAAACUGUGUUCACACAGUGAAAAAGCGUGGUACAAAAACCUCCCUCAGUCAG
Non-coding RNA from Cheilinus undulatus (humphead wrasse), 454 nucleotides. The record is from the annotation of a RefSeq genome assembly. NCBI's taxonomy places the organism in Eukaryota, Metazoa, Chordata, Actinopteri, Labriformes, Labridae.